UACGUAGGGGGCAAGCGUUGUCCGGAUUUAUUGGGCGUAAAGAGCGUGUAGGCGGUCAGGUAGGUCUGCUGUGAAAACUCGAGGCUCAACCUCGAGCUGUCGGCGGAAACCAUCUGGCUAGAGUCCGGAAGAGGAGAGUGGAAUUCCUGGUGUAGCGGUGAAAUGCGCAGAUAUCAGGAAGAACACCUAUGGCGAAGGCAGCUCUCUGGGACGGUACUGACGCUGAGACGCGAAAGCGUGGGGAGCGAACAGG
This 253-nucleotide ribosomal RNA is filed under the name uncultured bacterium. Its description in RNAcentral is "partial 16S ribosomal RNA". It matches the Rfam family "Bacterial small subunit ribosomal RNA", at positions 524 to 776 of the family's 1533-position model. The record is from RNAcentral.